GCUGGCGGCGUGCUUAACACAUGCAAGUCGAGGGGCAGCAGCAUCUAUCUUCGGAUAGAUGGCUGGCGACCGGCGGACGGGUGAGUAACACGUAGCUACUUGCCCUCCAGUGGGGGAUAACCCGGGGAAACUCGGGCUAAUACCGCAUAUACCCGAGAGGGGAAAGCCGUAAGGCGCUGGAGGAUAGGGCUGCGGCCUAUCAGGUAGUUGGUGGGGUAACGGCCUACCAAGCCUAUGACGGGUAGCUGGUCUGAGAGGAUGAUCAGCCACACUGGCACUGAGACACGGGCCAGACUCCUACGGGAGGCAGCAGUGGGGAAUCUUGGGCAAUGGGCGAAAGCCUGACCCAGCAACGCCGCGUGGAGGAAGAAGCCCUUCGGGGUGUAAACUCCUUUUCUGGGGGAAGAGAGAGACGGUACCCCAGGAAUAAGCUCCGGCUAACUCCGUGCCAGCAGCCGCGGUAAUAUCGGGGGGAGCGAGCGUUACUCGGAAUUACUGGGCGUAAAGGGUGCGUAGGCGGCUUGGUAAGUUGGGGGUGAAAGCCUACGGCUCAACCGUAGGAUUGCUUCCAAAACUGCCAGGCUAGAGUCCGGGAGGGGCCGAGGGAAUUCCCGGUGUAGGGGUGAAAUCCGUAGAGAUCGGGAGGAAUGCCGAAAGCGAAGGCGCUCGGCUGGAACGGUACUGACGCUGAGGCACGAAAGCGUGGGGAGCAAACAGGAUUAGAUACCUGGUAGUCCACGCCCUAAACGAUGGCUACUAGUGGUUGGGGGGAUAGUCCCUCAGUCACGCAGCUAACGCGAUAAGUAGCCGCCUGGGGAGUACGGCCGCAAGGCUAAAACUCAAAG
Molecule: ribosomal RNA, 845 nt
Filed under: uncultured Campylobacterota bacterium
Lineage: Bacteria; Pseudomonadati; Campylobacterota
Description: bacterial SSU rRNA
Rfam family: Bacterial small subunit ribosomal RNA
Source: RNAcentral